This 648-nucleotide ribosomal RNA is filed under the name uncultured bacterium. RNAcentral's name for it is "bacterial SSU rRNA". It matches the Rfam family "Bacterial small subunit ribosomal RNA", at positions 8 to 651 of the family's 1533-position model. The record is from RNAcentral.
AGAGUUUGAUCCUGGCUCAGAUUGAACGCUGGCGGCAUGCCUUACACAUGCAAGUCGAACGGCAGCACGGGAGCAAUCCUGGUGGCGAGUGGCGAACGGGUGAGUAAUACAUCGGAACGUGUCCUGUAGUGGGGGAUAGCCCGGCGAAAGCCGGAUUAAUACCGCAUACGCUCUACGGAGGAAAGGGGGGGAUCUUAGGACCUCCCGCUACAGGGGCGGCCGAUGGCAGAUUAGCUAGUUGGUGGGGUAAAGGCCUACCAAGGCGACGAUCUGUAGCUGGUCUGAGAGGACGACCAGCCACACUGGGACUGAGACACGGCCCAGACUCCUACGGGAGGCAGCAGUGGGGAAUUUUGGACAAUGGGCGAAAGCCUGAUCCAGCAAUGCCGCGUGUGUGAAGAAGGCCUUCGGGUUGUAAAGCACUUUUGUCCGGAAAGAAAACCUCGUGGUUAAUACCCGUGGGGGAUGACGGUACCGGAAGAAUAAGCACCGGCUAACUACGUGCCAGCAGCCGCGGUAAUACGUAGGGUGCAAGCGUUAAUCGGAAUUACUGGGCGUAAAGCGUGCGCAGGCGGUCCGCUAAGACAGAUGUGAAAUCCCCGGGCUUAACCUGGGAACUGCAUUUGUGACUGGCGGGCUAGAGUAUGG